GAUGAACGCUGGCGGCGUGCCUAAUACAUGCAAGUCGAGCGAACAGACGAGGAGCUUGCUCCUCUGACGUUAGCGGCGGACGGGUGAGUAACACGUGGAUAACCUACCUAUAAGACUGGGAUAACUUCGGGAAACCGGAGCUAAUACCGGAUAAUAUAUUGAACCGCAUGGUUCAAUAGUGAAAGACGGUUUUGCUGUCACUUAUAGAUGGAUCCGCGCCGCAUUAGCUAGUUGGUAAGGUAACGGCUUACCAAGGCAACGAUGCGUAGCCGACCUGAGAGGGUGAUCGGCCACACUGGAACUGAGACACGGUCCAGACUCCUACGGGAGGCAGCAGUAGGGACUCUUCCGCAAUGGGCGAAAGCUUGACGGAGCAACGCCGCGUGAGUGAUGAAGGUCUUCGGAUCGUAAAACUCUGUUAUUAGGGAAGAACAAAUGUGUAAGUAACUAUGCACGUCUUGACGGUACCUAAUCAGAAAGCCACGGCUAACUACGUG
Molecule: ribosomal RNA, 497 nt
Filed under: uncultured bacterium
Lineage: Bacteria
Description: partial 16S ribosomal RNA
Rfam family: Bacterial small subunit ribosomal RNA
Source: RNAcentral